GACGAACGCUGGCGGCGUGCUUAACACAUGCAAGUCGAACGGUAAGGCUCCAGCUUGCUGGGGUACACGAGUGGCGAACGGGUUAGUAACACGUGGGUGACCUGCCCUGCACUUCGGGAUAAGCCUGGGAAACUGGGUCUAAUACCGGAUAGGACCAUGGUGUGGAUACUGUGGUGGAAAGUUUUUUCGGUGUGGGAUGGGCCCGCGGCCUAUCAGCUUGUUGGUGGGGUAAUGGCCUACCAAGGCGGCGACGGGUAGCCGGCCUGAGAGGGUGGACGGCCACAUUGGGACUGAGACACGGCCCAGACUCCUACGGGAGGCAGCAGUGGGGAAUAUUGCACAAUGGGCGGAAGCCUGAUGCAGCGACGCCGCGUGGGGGAUGACGGCCUUCGGGUUGUAAACUCCUUUCACCAUCGACGAAGGGUUUCUGACGGUAGAUGGAGAAGAAGCACCGGCUAACUACGUG
This 466-nucleotide ribosomal RNA is filed under the name uncultured bacterium. RNAcentral's name for it is "partial 16S ribosomal RNA". It matches the Rfam family "Bacterial small subunit ribosomal RNA", at positions 28 to 507 of the family's 1533-position model. The record is from RNAcentral.